AGAUUGAACGCUGGCGGCAUGCCUUACACAUGCAAGUCGAACGGCAGCACGGGAGCAAUCCUGGUGGCGAGUGGCGAACGGGUGAGUAAUACAUCGGAACGUGCCCAGUAGUGGGGGAUAACCCGGCGAAAGCCGGACUAAUACCGCAUACGACCUUCGGGUGAAAGCAGGGAUCGCAAGACCUUGCGCUAUUGGAGCGGCCGAUGUCAGAUUAGCUAGUUGGUGGGUAAAAGCCCACCAAGGCGACGAUCUGUAGCUGGUCUGAGAGGACGACCAGCCACACUGGGACUGAGACACGGCCCAGACUCCUACGGGAGGCAGCAGUGGGGAAUUUGGACAAUGGGCGCAAGCCUGAUCCAGCCAUGCCGCGU
Molecule: ribosomal RNA, 371 nt
Filed under: uncultured soil bacterium
Lineage: Bacteria
Description: bacterial SSU rRNA
Rfam family: Bacterial small subunit ribosomal RNA
Source: RNAcentral